This 1476-nucleotide ribosomal RNA is filed under the name uncultured bacterium. RNAcentral's name for it is "partial 16S ribosomal RNA". It matches the Rfam family "Bacterial small subunit ribosomal RNA". The record is from RNAcentral.
UAGAGUUUGAUCCUGGCUCAGGACUAACGCUGGCGGUAUGCCUUAGACAUGCAAGUCGAACGAGUUUCCGGGCUUGCUCGGAAAUUAGUGGCGAACGGCUGAGUAACGCGUAGGUGACCUACCCCGUAGUGUGGAAUAACUGCCCGAAAGGGUAGCUAAUACCGCAUGUUGAGCCGACAUCAAUGUCGUCUCCAAAGCAGAAAUGCGCUAUGGGCGGGGCCUGCGUUCGAUUAGCUAGUUGGUGGGGUAAUGGCUCACCAAGGCGACGAUCGAUAGGUGGUCUGAGAGGACGAUCACCCAGACUGGGACUGAGACACGGCCCAGACUCCUACGGGAGGCAGCAGUCGGGAAUUUUGCGCAAUGGGGGAAACCCUGACGCAGCAAUACCGCGUGUGGGAUGAAGGCCUUCGGGUCGUAAACCACUUUUUUCGGGGACGAUAAUGACGGUACCCGAAGAAUAAGCCACGGCUAACUACGUGCCAGCAGCCGCGGUAAUACGUAGGUGGCAAGCGUUGUCCGGAUUUACUGGGCGUAAAGCGCGCGCAGGCGGUGAAUGAAGUCGAAAGUGAAAGCCCCGAGCUCAACUCGGGAACUGCUUUCGAAACCAGUUCACUUGAAGGUGGAAGAGGGAAGUGGAAUUCCGAGUGUAGCGGUGGAAUGCGUAGAUAUUCGGAGGAACACCAGAGGCGAAGGCGACUUCCUGGUCCAAUCUUGACGCUGAGGCGCGAAAGCUAGGGGAGCAAACAGGAUUAGAUAUCCUGGUAGUCCUAGCUGUAAACGAUGGAUACUAGGUGUUGGAGGUUUUAACCCCUUCGGCGCCGCAGCUAACGCAUUAAGUAUCCCGCCUGGGGAGUACGCACGCAAGUGUGAAACUCAAAGGAAUUGACGGGGGCCCGCACAAGCGGUGGAGUAUGUGGUUUAAUUCGAUGCAACGCGAAGAACCUUACCAGGGUUUGACAUCCUGCGAAUCUCUUGGAAACGAGAGAGUGCCUUCGGGAACGCAGUGACAGGUGGUGCAUGGCUGUCGUCAGCUCGUGUCGUGAGAUGUUGGGUUAAGUCCCGCAACGAGCGCAACCCACGUCGUUAGUUGCCAGCAUUUAGUUGGGCACUCUAGCGAGACCGCCGGUGAUAAACCGGAGGAAGGUGUGGAUGACGUCAAGUCAUCAUGCCCCUUACAUCCUGGGCUACACACGUACUACAAUGCUACGGACAAAGGGCAGCAAGCUCGCGAGAGUUAGCAAAUCCCAUAAACCGUGGCUCAGUUCAGAUCGUAGGCUGCAACUCGCCUACGUGAAGGAGGAAUCGCUAGUAAUCGCAGGUCAGCAUACUGCGGUGAAUACGUUCCCGGGCCUUGUACACACCGCCCGUCACACCAUGGAAGUUGGCCACGCCCGAAGCCGUUACUCCAACCCUUGUGGAGGAGGAUGUCGAAGGUGGGGCUGAUGACUGGGGUGAAGUCGUAACAAGGUAACCGUA